This 435-nucleotide ribosomal RNA is filed under the name uncultured bacterium. RNAcentral's name for it is "bacterial SSU rRNA". It matches the Rfam family "Bacterial small subunit ribosomal RNA", at positions 8 to 447 of the family's 1533-position model. The record is from RNAcentral.
AGAGUUUGNNNNNGGCUCAGGAUGAACGUUGGCGGCGUGCCUAAUGCAUGCAAGUUGAACGAGAAGCGCCUUCGGGCGUGGAGAGUGGCGAACGGGUGAGUAACAAGUAACUGAUCUGCCCUGUAGAACGGGAUAACUGCUGGAAACAGCAGCUAAUACCGACUAAGCUCACGGUGACUAGAAGCCCGUGAGAAAAGGCUGAGGCGCUACAGGAUGAGGUUGCAUCCCAUCAGCUGGUUGGUGAGGUAAUGGCUCACCAAGGCGAUGACGGGUAGGGGGCCUGAGAGGGCGUUCCCCCACACUGGGACUGAGACACGGCCCAGACUCCUACGGGAGGCAGCAGCAAGGGAUAUUGCACAAUGGACGGAAGUCUGAUGCAGCGACGCCGCGUGGGCGAAGAAGGUUUUCGGAUCGUAAAGCCCUUUCUGUGUGACG